CAGCCGCCGCGGUAAUACGUAGGUGGCAAGCGUUGUCCGGAAUUAUUGGGCGUAAAGCGUGCGCAGGUGGUUUAAUAAGUCUGAUGUGAAAGCCCACGGCUCAACCGUGGAGGGUCAUUGGAAACUGUUAGACUUGAGUGCAGGAGAGAAAAGUGGAAUUCCUAGUGUAGCGGUGAAAUGCGUAGAGAUUAGGAGGAACACCAGUGGCGAAGGCGGCUUUUUGGCCUGUAACCGACACUGAGGCGCGAAAGCGUGGGGAGCAAACAGGAUUAGAUACCCCCGUAGUCCCUGUCUCUUAUAC
Molecule: ribosomal RNA, 301 nt
Filed under: uncultured bacterium
Lineage: Bacteria
Description: partial 16S ribosomal RNA
Rfam family: Bacterial small subunit ribosomal RNA
Source: RNAcentral